Molecule: ribosomal RNA, 388 nt
Filed under: uncultured bacterium
Lineage: Bacteria
Description: bacterial SSU rRNA
Rfam family: Bacterial small subunit ribosomal RNA
Source: RNAcentral
ACUCCUACGGGAGGCAGCAGUAGGGAAUCUUCCACAAUGGGCGCAAGCCUGAUGGAGCAACGACCGCGUGAGUGAAGAAGGGUUUCGGCUCGUAAAGCUCUGUUGUUAAAGAAGAACACGUAUGAGAGUAACUGUUCAUACGUUGACGGUAUUUAACCAGAAAGUCACGGCUAACUACGUGCCAGCACGCCGCGGUAAUACGUAGGUGGCAAGCGUUAUCCGGAUUUAUUGGGCGUAAAGAGAGUGCAGGUCGGUUUUCUAAGUCUGAUGUGAAAGCCUUCGGCUUAACCGGAGAAGUGCAUCGGAAACUGGAUAACUUGAGUGCAGAAGAGGUAGUGGAACUCCAUGUGUAGCGGUGGAAUGCGUAGAUAUAUGGAAGAACACCAGU